Molecule: small RNA, 163 nt
Filed under: uncultured Acetatifactor sp.
Lineage: Bacteria; Bacillati; Bacillota; Clostridia; Lachnospirales; Lachnospiraceae
Description: Clostridiales-1 RNA
Rfam family: Clostridiales-1 RNA
Source: RNAcentral
GAUGCCAGGGUCAUAAACAAAACCCCACGCUGUGCUCGCACAAGCGUGGGGUUCUUGUUUCAUGACCCGCUCCGAUAUUCGCAUAAAAGGGAAGCGUCAGCUUCACGAUAUGCGAAUACCGGGCAGGAUUGUGAGAGUGCGCAGCACGGAGCAAUCCGUCAGG